This is a long non-coding RNA of Salvia miltiorrhiza (redroot sage), 848 nucleotides long. RefSeq lists it as uncharacterized. The transcript is spliced from 5 exons. The record is from RefSeq and is a predicted model, not a curated record. Lineage: Eukaryota; Viridiplantae; Streptophyta; Magnoliopsida; Lamiales; Lamiaceae.
UUCACCUGCAUUGAUGCAAAGAACAACAACUUCAGUUUCACUUCCAAACCAUUUAAUACUUUAAUAAACCGAAGAGCAAGAGGGAGCAUUCAGUCAUUGAUCUGCCAGCUUUAAGUUCUCCGUCCUCUAAUACCUCAACAACAGCCAACAAAGGUUUUGAAGAAGAAGACGUCUUAUUGUUGGUUUACGUGGACGAAGUCGAAUGCACAAGACAAAUUAGGAAGCCAGUUUGCUCUCUUUGCAGCUCGUCCAAGUCCGGCGUUUUUGGCUUUGUGUUGUUCUCGUCGCACAAAGGAAAGAAAUGGGUUGCAGUAGCGUUGGAAACAAAAGUAAAUAUAGUCACAACAAGAACUGAACUGAUCGACCUUGGGAGAGAUGGAAUCUUUAUUUUGGGUCAAGGGCGAGAGUAAUAACCAGUCAAGAAGCUAUUGUACCACAGAAAAUUUCUAUCAGUUAUGUAAUCGAAUUCGGGUCCUGAGCAGUUGAUAGCUAUCCUGUCAGGACUAGUGUACACCAGUGACCGUGAGUCAUCGAGCGAGUUGGCCGGUCAAGUGACCGUGAGAGGUGGCCACCUCUCUGGCACGCAGUUCUAGAUAUGAUAGAUUACGAGAGAACUUAUACUGCAGUCGAACUUUAAGAAUCACAAAUGAAUUUAGUUGAGUAGUAGCCGGUGGUGAUGAAGUGACGAGCGGGAUCUUCUUUUGUCCUAAUAUUAUAUGUAUUGAUUAACUCUUGGGUACAUGUCUUCAUACAUGUAAUCAGAAUUUCUAUUCCGCUGCGUACUUAGAAGUCUUAUGUUAUUUUGACUAAGUCGGAGUUAUCCGAACUUACUAGUUUAUUUGAGUCAA